RNAcentral lists this ribosomal RNA (305 nucleotides) under uncultured bacterium. RNAcentral describes it as "partial 16S ribosomal RNA". It matches the Rfam family "Bacterial small subunit ribosomal RNA", at positions 337 to 660 of the family's 1533-position model. The record is from RNAcentral.
UCCUACGGGAGCAGCAGUGGGGGAUAUUGCACAAUGGGGGGAACCCUGAUGCAGCGACGCCGCGUGGGUGAAGAAGCGCCUCGGCGCGUAAAGCCCUGUCAGCAGGGAAGAAAAUGACGGUACCUGAAGAAGAAGCCCCGGCUAACUACGUGCAAGCAGCCGCGGUAAUACGUAGGGGGCAAGCGUUAUCCGGAUUUACUGGGGGUAAAGGGGGCGCAGACGGCGAUGCAAGCAAGGAGUGAAAGCCCGGGGCCCAACCCCGGGACGACGCUGGGACAUGCGGGGCUGGAGUGCAGGGGGGGCAG